Acomys russatus (golden spiny mouse) is the source of this 266-nucleotide long non-coding RNA. RefSeq lists it as uncharacterized. The record is from RefSeq and is a predicted model, not a curated record. The transcript has 3 exons. Lineage: Eukaryota; Metazoa; Chordata; Mammalia; Rodentia; Muridae.
GUGGGAGGGUUCUGACGUCCACAUCCUGGGCUGUCAUUCAUCUACCUCCGGCCCCGCCCCCUCGCGGCUGCGGCUGGGCGCGGAGCAGGGACGCGUCCGGGUACCGGGCACCGACCAGCUUGAGCCAUGGCUUCGGUCCCUGCGGAGGCCGAGACCCGCCAGAGGCUGCUGCGAAAUGUGAAGAAGGAGUCAGGUGUCAUCUGGGACCCUGUGCCUUCCUGGUGAGGUGUGAGGAAGCCCUGCCCCUGUCCCACCUCCGCUGCUGG